Molecule: ribosomal RNA, 253 nt
Filed under: uncultured bacterium
Lineage: Bacteria
Description: partial 16S ribosomal RNA
Rfam family: Bacterial small subunit ribosomal RNA
Source: RNAcentral
GACGAACCGUGCGAACGUUAUUCGGAAUCAUUGGGCUUAAAGCGCGUGUAGGCGGAUGGGAACGUCGGUGUUGAAAGCCCCCGGCUCAACCGGGGAAUUGGCGCCGAAACGACCCGUCUGGAGGGGCAUAGGGGGAGCUGGAACUUCCGGUGGAGCGGUGAAAUGCGUUGAGAUCGGAAGGAACGCCCGUGGCGAAAGCGAGCUCCUGGAUGUCUUCUGACGCUGAGACGCGAAAGCUAGGGUAGCGAACGGG